AGAGUUUGAUCCUGGCUCAGAAUGAACGUUGGCGGCGUGGAUUAGGCAUGCAAGUCGAACGAGUCUCUGGGGGGUAACUCCUAGAGGAAAAUGGCGAAAGGGGCAGUAAUAUAUGGGUAACCUACCUUGAGGUCUGGGAUAGCCAUUCUAACGGAUGGGUAAUACUGGACGGCCUGAGUUGUCGGCAUCGAUGAUUUAGUAAAGGUUACGCCUCGAGAGGGGCCCAUAUGAUAUUAGCUAGUUGGUGAGGUAAUGGCUCACCAAGGCAAAGAUGUCUAGCGGGUGUGAGAGCACGACCCGCGUCACUGGCACUGAGACACUGGCCAGACUCCUACGGGAGGCUGCAGUCGAGGAUCUUCGGCAAUGGACGAAAGUCUGACCGAGCAACGCCGCGUGUGCGAUGAAGGCCUUCGGGUUGUAAAGCACUGUCGAGGGGAAACAAGCCGUAAGGUUGAGUGACCCCUGGAGGAAGCACGGGCUAAGUUCGUGCCAGCAGCCGCGGCAAGACGAACCGUGCAAACGUUAUUCGGAAUCACUGGGCUUAAAGGGCGCGUAGGCGGGUAAUCAAGUCAAUGGUGAAAUCCUCCAGCUUAACUGGAGAAGUGCCUUUGAUACUGGUUGUCUAGAGGGAGGUAGGGGCAUGUGGAACUUCAGGUGGAGCGGUGAAAUGCGUAGAUAUCUGAAGGAACGCCAGUGGCGAAAGCGAUGUGCUGGACCUCUUCUGACGCUGAGGCGCGAAAGCUAGGGGAUCAAACGGGAUUAGAUACCCUGGUAGUCC
This 778-nucleotide ribosomal RNA is filed under the name uncultured bacterium. RNAcentral describes it as "bacterial SSU rRNA". It matches the Rfam family "Bacterial small subunit ribosomal RNA", at positions 8 to 796 of the family's 1533-position model. The record is from RNAcentral.